CUACAGGACAUUAACAUAACCAAUUUGCUUGAACUCCUCACUGGCUGCUUAAUAGAGCAUCUGACCAGCUGAUAAGACCUGGGUGCUGCUGCCUAUGAUACCUUGUUAUUAGCAUUUUCAUAAUAUUCGGAUAUUACAGCCCCAUGAUUCACUAGCCUCCAUUUAUUAUUGAUAAGUACAAAAAAUAAAUAAAAAGGGUUUAUAAAUAGCAAAGGGGGGUGAGCGACCUAUAAUUAUGGCAAGCAAAUUAGGGUGCACAGUAGAGUCAGUUACAUUUGCCUAGGAGUAAUGAUGCUCAAGAACUUUUUCUCUCCAGGGACUGGAAAAAUAAUCGAUUCCUCAGCAGCUGCAGAUGGGCCAGGAAAGGCUCUCGCCCGGGACACUGUUUACAUUCUCCCAACAUCAUUAUGGUCUACUAUUAUUAGCAAGCAUCAUGUAUUCUUAUAGGAAUAUAAAGUCCUUGAGAACUUUCCUGCAUUGUACCAAAAAAAUGAAGAGAUGGUAAUUAUCAGAAAAAUCUCCCAAGUAGCCAUCCUCACCAGCCAGCACCUGGAGCUGUGACCACUUUGAUAUAUCCAGCAAAAAACCCAAACUCAAACUCAUCCUAAAGCUCUGAGCUUUGCUAAAGUUUGAAAGCAGAGGUAAGCUCUGCAAUGCCUCCUGCUUCUGUAACGAACAGAAGAAGAAUCUGUUUCACCAAAACACCACAAAUCCUGUGGAAGUUCAGGCCCAGGUCUGAGCUGCGUCUCUGAAGCUUGUCUUCAACACAUGCCUCCAUCUCACAGGAGGAUCCUCCGGCAUCCAGUAGACUCUGCUCUGGCUCAAACCUCAUGUUAACAUCAUCAAGGAGAAAUACAAAUCUAAACUGACAGAGACUUGCUUGUCGCUUCCUUUGUGUCCAAACACAGAUGGUUGCUUUUGUCGUGCCAUCACAUUUCAGCCAAUAUAAGCAGCAAAGUGCAUAACUGGAACAUAUAAUUCUCUUCUCUUCCAAGCCCCCACAAGUUUUUUGCAGCUGAAGUAUCAUUCUUAAGAAUAAAUACAGUGUUUUCAUGCAUCUUGAUCUAAUCCAUUAGCGCUUAUAAUUUAUUGUUAACUGCUUGGAUGUAGAAGCCAUGACAGCUUUGAGUAAAGCAUUUAAGCAGACACCUGCUUUGUAUAAAUUAUACUAACCUUGGUCAGGUUAGUGACUCUUCAGAGAGAGACAAAUGUCUCUUACCAACAUCUGUAGCUCUUGGGAUAGUGGUUUUAUUACACUCUAAGAGGCUUUGGAUCUUGGAAACAGUAAUGGAGCAAAUCUAUGAACUACCUGCUGACUUGUUAUUUCCAUUUGUAUUUGGUAUUGUGCUAAUGGCUUCAAGGCAGGAGGAAUGGGAUUUGACAUGGGGGGAGUAGGAGCUGGAAAACACUUUGCUGGUCUCAAAUCACUUCCUUGGAGGCUAAAGCCCUCAUUAACUAUAACUUGAGUGGAUUGUCUUAAUCUGAUUGCUGUAGUAUUUUAUGUCUAGUCAUUUAGGCUUAUUUCUAUAAAUACUUAGAUAAGCUUCUAUCAAUUACUCCACUGUCCCCCUGUCUCCUACCAUUGGAAAUGGCAUGGUGUCAUGAUAUAAGUGUAAUUAUAUGAUACUUUCCACAUACAGAAAAAGGAAGAUGUGUGUUAACGUGAAAGAAAGGCAUUGCCUGGGAAGAUGGUUUCUUAUAUGGGAAUGAGGAUAUUGCAUCGUCUUGUUCAGUGUCUCUCAGAGAGGAAACCUUAGGACCAGGAGAAAAGGCGCAGCGAUGUUAUUCUGAACGCUGGACGUCCCGAAAGGCCUUUCUCCCCUCUAUUGAGCACCCAUUCUGACGAUGAGAUGUCUGAAAAGACUGCGGGACUUUUGCUGGUGAUAGGUGGUUGACCAAAGGUCUGAUGUGCAUUCACUCCUGUUUCUUUUUUGCUUGUGCUGUUUAGAUUAAUUUGACUCACUUGCGAAGCUUUACGCACUGCACAUUUCCCGACUAAAAAAGAAAAAGACUGACAGAGCAAACUAAUUGAAACACGGUAUUCUGCAUCUCACUUCAGCACCCUCGUUCCACGCUGGAGCCACAGGGUUCAAAGUUAAUAGAGUGCCGUGUCAGGGAUGCCACUCAGAGGGGCGAAAUGCAAUGCAAUGGUGGACAAGCCUGAAGAUUCAACCUGACUUCUUCAGCAUCUUUUCUGAGAAAACAAAUGCUGAACUGGUGCUAAGAGGGAGGAUGGCCAUUGCAAUGGUGUGCACGUCAGCUUGCGCUGGUCAGAGUGGAAGCAAGCCUUUAGACCUUGCCGCAUCUGGAAGGAAGCAGAUUUCAGAGUGAAGAUACAUCCCAUCACUGAG
Dromaius novaehollandiae (emu) is the source of this 2351-nucleotide long non-coding RNA. RefSeq lists it as uncharacterized. The record is from RefSeq and is a predicted model, not a curated record. The transcript is spliced from 3 exons. NCBI's taxonomy places the organism in Eukaryota, Metazoa, Chordata, Aves, Casuariiformes, Dromaiidae.